This 480-nucleotide ribosomal RNA is filed under the name uncultured bacterium. Its description in RNAcentral is "partial 16S ribosomal RNA". It matches the Rfam family "Bacterial small subunit ribosomal RNA", at positions 28 to 523 of the family's 1533-position model. The record is from RNAcentral.
GAUGAACGCUGGCGGCGUGCUUAACACAUGCAAGUCGAACGAUGAUCCCAGCUUGCUGGGGGAUUAGUGGCGAACGGGUGAGUAACACGUGAGUAACCUGCCCUUGACUCUGGGAUAGGCCUGGGAAACUGGGUCUAAUACCGGAUAUGACUCCUCAUCGCAGGGUGGGGGGUGGAAAGCUUUUGUGGUUUUGGAUGGACUCGCGGCCUAUCAGCUUGUUGGUGGGGUAAUGGCCUACCAAGGCGACGACGGGUAGCCGGCCUGAGAGGGUGACCGGCCACACUGGGACUGAGACACGGCCCAGACUCCUACGGGAGGCAGCAGUGGGGAAUAUUGCACAAUGGGCGCAAGCCUGAUGCAGCGACGCCGCGUGAGGGAUGACGGCCUUCGGGUUGUAAACCUCUUUCAGUAGGGAAGAAGCGUAAGUGACGGUACCUGCAGAAGAAGCGCCGGCUAACUACGUGCCAGCAGCCGCCGUAA